This 832-nucleotide long non-coding RNA is filed under the name Gallus gallus (chicken). Its description in RNAcentral is "long non-coding RNA NONGGAT011766". The record is from RNAcentral. Lineage: Eukaryota; Metazoa; Chordata; Aves; Galliformes; Phasianidae.
GCGGGAUGGAGACGGCAGCGAAAUGGCCGCCCGGCCGCGCCCAGGCUCUCCGUGCUGCCGCGCCGAGGGCGCAGGCAGGCAGGCAGGCCCGGCGGCCGGGGGCCGUUUGCUCGCAGUCCCCUCACCCCAGCCGUCCCCCUCCCGCACACAUUGCUCGUCCAGACGGCGCUGUCUGCACGCACGCUCCGGGCCUUGCACGCCGCCGUUUUGUCUCGGCUACCAGAGGCACUCAGCCGUGCUUUCCGUAGGACGGCUGUUUUUCCAGAGAGCGCCUUGGUGGGGCUGCAUUACAUCAGCCCCAGCGCUGUGCCAGGCUGCUUCCAAGCAUCGCACUAAUUUGUUUUAAAGAUCAUUUUCUAACGCUAGUUAUUGCACAGGAAAACUGGAAUCCGUGACUGGGUGGAACAGCAGGAGUUUGUACACAUAAACGAGUCCAUCAUCUCUGACUCCAGCACUCAGCCAGCUCCGUGCUUCCCAUGAGAGCUGUCUGGUGCUCAGCAAGUAUUAACACUUCAGCGCUACGCCAAGAAUCUCCUUGUGCUGAAGGAUCUGUUUUUCAACCUGUGGGUCGGCUGCAAUCAAGUCUAACAAACAAGUGGACAUCUCAGAAAGAUGGUGCUGAUUUCUGAUGUCCUGUCAAGAACGCAGGAAGGAAAGAAGGACAGAAGAUUUAGGUAGUUAGUGUUUGCAUUUGUGUGUAGUUAAUUAUGCUAACAACAUAUAGUGAGAUUUGUUCAACAAUGCGCAGUUUACAUCUUUUGGAAGCAUCAUACACGGGAACAAAGUAAGAUUCAUAACUUGUCAAAGACCUGGUCACUGAUGGUAAGAAACA